This 67-nucleotide transfer RNA is filed under the name uncultured Anaeroplasma sp. It matches the Rfam family "tRNA". From Rfam's summary of the family: Transfer RNA (tRNA) molecules are approximately 80 nucleotides in length. Their secondary structure includes four short double-helical elements and three loops (D, anti-codon, and T loops). Lineage: Bacteria; Bacillati; Mycoplasmatota; Mollicutes; Anaeroplasmatales; Anaeroplasmataceae. The record is from RNAcentral.
GAUUUAGCUCAGCUUGGUAGAGCGCUUGGUUUGGGACCAAGAUGUCGUAGGUUCGAAUCCUAUAAUC